Molecule: ribosomal RNA, 253 nt
Filed under: uncultured bacterium
Lineage: Bacteria
Description: partial 16S ribosomal RNA
Rfam family: Bacterial small subunit ribosomal RNA
Source: RNAcentral
UACGUAGGGUGCAAGCGUUAUCCGGAAUUACUGGGUUUAAAGGGUGCGUAGGCGGCUAAGUAAGUCAGGAGUGAAAGUUUGCGGCUCAACCGUAAAAUUGCUUUUGAUACUGCAUAGCUAGAAUUAGGAUGAGGUCAGCGGAAUGUGGCAUGUAGCGGUGAAAUGCAUAGAUAUGCCAUAGAACACCAAUUGCGAAGGCAGCUGGCUAGACCUGGAUUGACGCUGAGGCACGAAAGCGUGGGGAGCGAACAGG